GCAAUAUUCUUUUCGUAUUUUUCCUUCAGCUUUGCAGCCUUCUUUUCAUAAGGCUGCUUGUCAUCUGCAGCAGUGUCAUUCUACAUCUCUCCCAGCUUCUUUGCAACAUCACCAAUGGAUAGGCCAGGAUGUUCUCCUUUGAUUUGGGGGCGAUACUCAGAACAGAACAAGAAAAAG
This is a long non-coding RNA of Otolemur garnettii (small-eared galago), 177 nucleotides long. RefSeq lists it as uncharacterized. The record is from RefSeq and is a predicted model, not a curated record. The transcript is spliced from 3 exons. NCBI's taxonomy places the organism in Eukaryota, Metazoa, Chordata, Mammalia, Primates, Galagidae.